CUGUAAAAAAGGCCAAAUAUCGUGUAUUAAAAUUAGAUGAAAACACGUUCAAUUGCACCAGACAUGGCAGCUUUGAGAAGCUUCAAUGUGUUGGUGCAGUUUGUUUUUGUGUUAACGAGGAAGGGAAAAGACUAAAAGAACAGGGUUCAAUUACAAUGAGUAAUUUCAGAAAAAACCCCUGUUAGGUUGUAUUUCUCAACAUAAUUUCGAUGUUUCCAACUUCAUGUGUUUAAUACACUCUAUACAAUGACUUCCAGUUAUUGUAUAAAGAAAAAAGGAUAUCUAAUGGUGGUGUGAUGAGGUUGAUGAUAGUGAAGCUCUACCAAGUAAAAACCAAAUAUCAGUUGAAAAUUGCCGUUUUCCUACUCAUGUUAUUUCAACAUAGUUGAAAAUAUUUUCUUUAUUAAUGAAGACAUUCAACAUUUAUUACACAGCUGUUACACAUUUAAAUUAUUAGCACUCGAUUUCUUAACGCAUUAACCAAAUUUAUUUGAUAAUAAACCAUUUCAAAAUGUAA
Molecule: long non-coding RNA, 517 nt
Organism: Octopus sinensis (East Asian common octopus)
Lineage: Eukaryota; Metazoa; Mollusca; Cephalopoda; Octopoda; Octopodidae
Exons: 2
Source: RefSeq, a predicted model, not a curated record